GCCACUUUUAAAUUACCACCUUAGAUUAUUUUAUUAAUCUAAGAUUACCACAAACAAUACCACAAAACAGAGUGCGCCACAGAGUGCGCUCAAACAACGCACACAUAGACACUCAAUGUCACUGACACGAUAUCUCGGACCGAUUGAGACUAGUGCGAGCGCGAGUGCUAUCCGCUUGAGACUCGUGUGACGCAUUUAUGUGCAAAAAUGGAACAACAAAGUAAAGCUUAUUAUAACUGUUCGGUGUACGGUUGUUUAAAUUCAACAUUAAACAGCGAAUACUCGUUUUUUAAGGUACCAGCUGUAUUAGAGAAGCGAAAUAAGUGGUUGAGAUUGAUGCAUAGAGAAGAUUUAAUUGAUUCAAGUCGCAGUCGUCCUCGUGUGUGUGAAGCUCAUUUCAGUCCCAGCUCCAUCAGUACAUUUUCAAGUCGAAAGUUGUUAAAACAAAACUCAAUACCACAACUGCUCCUACCAACAAAUAAUUUCGAGAGUAAAGGAAUUCAAACAACAAGUAUAGAAACAGUCAAUGCAAAUUCACAAUGUGAUUAUAACUUGAUGACAAAUGCUCAAGUACAAACUCCGUUAUACCUUUUAAAUGAUACUCCUGGUAAAAGAAUACUCUUGAGUGAAAUUCAAAGAUUUCGAAAAAGGAUAAAACUAGAAGACGAUACACAGUCUAGUGAAGCCAACACGUUUAAUAAGUUAUGUGACAAAUUUUUGACCCCAAACUUAGCGCGUGUUGUUAAACAACAGACCAAAAUUAAAACUGAUGGACAUGGGUUUGGAAACAGAUACAAUUUAGACUACAAAAUUUUCUGUUUGAAUUUAUACUACGUAAGUCCACAGGCAUACAGUAUGUUGAAAGACACUUUAUGUUUACCAAGUAAACAAACACUAAUGAAAAUGUAUAUGCCUAUAACUACAAAAAUUUAUAGUCAUCUCAUGGAUGUUCUUAAAACCAAAGUACAAUUUAUGAGUGAUAUGAAUAGAAAUUGUGCACUUGUCAUUGACGCCAUAAGUCUUAAAACGAAUUUAUUUUACAAUAUUAAAGAAGACAAAGUUUAUGGUUUCCAUGAAGUUGACGGUGUGCAAUCUCCUGAGCCUGCGAAGUACGCUUUGGUAGCAAUGAUCCAUGGCUUAAAUGAAAAUUAUGUGCAGCCAGUAGGUUUUGCAUUAUUAGCUGAAUGUAAAAAACACCCAAGCAUAACAGAUUGGAUUGAUAACGUAAUCUUAGAACUUUUUUCAAUCGGUUUCCAUGUUCGAAGUUUAGUGUCAGAUAUGAGUUCCGAUUUUUUUAAUUGUGCCAGAAAAAGAUCAGUGUCUGCAGAAAGUCCCUUUUUUUUCGUUGGCGACAGAAAGAUAUAUUAUAUCUUUGAUCCACCUCACUUAAUCAAAUACGUGCGAAAUAUCUUGAUUGACUAUGAAUUUCAUUUUGAUAACGAUGUGGCCAAAUGGCAUCACAUACUUGAGUUUUAUGAGAUGGAUAAGUUGAAACGAUUUAGACUUGCCCCGAAACUUACAGACAGUCAUAUUAAACCCACAAAGCUUGAGAGGAGGGAGAUAAAGUACGCUGUGCAAGUUCUUAGUGCUACCGUUGCAGCCGGCUUAUCUACAUACAGGGACUUUGGCGUAAUAGAAAAUUCUGCAAAAGGCACAGUUAAACUGAUUGAAAUUAUGAACGAUCUGUUUGACAUUUUUAAUGCAUCAUCUCGCUAUGGAAGCAAACAAUAUCAAAACGCCUUUUGUGGCGAAGAAUUUCAGAUUGCUUAUGUUAAUAGCAUGCUGAAUUUUUUUGAGUCAUUGAAAUUAAUUAACCCUAAGAAUGGCCAAAAUGUUACAUCUAAAGUGAAGUUCAUUGAAGGUUUCCAAAUAACAUUAAAGUCUUUAUUAAUGUUGUUUGAAGAUUUAAGAAUUGAAGGAUUUUCAUAUGUACUGACCAAAAGAUUAAGUCUGGACUGUUUAGAAAACUUCUUAGGUCAGAUUAGGACAAAGAAAGGAAAUUCUACGGAACCAACAUCCAGGCAGCUGGUUUCAGCGUUUAGAAAAAAGUUUUUCAAAAAUAUUUUAAUGUGGCCUAAAAGUGGUAACUGUACAGAAGAUUUAACAAAAUGUUUACUCGAUGCUGAAAAAUUAUUGGAUCCCUUAGCCAAUGAGCCAGGUGAUUCAGAAACCACUUCGAUAAUGGUAACAAAAGAGAGUAAUAGUUGCGCCAAAAUUUAUUUAAUAUCAACUACAGAUUAUAACACACUUGACUUACCGGAAAAAGACGCGUUAGUUUACGUCAGUGAGUAUUUGUUAAAGAAAUGCUUACAUCACCACAACGAAUGUAAUGAGCUUAUAGCUUAUACAGAAGGAGAAGACAUUGCACCAGAGUUUUUAGAAUUUGUCAGAUCAAUGGAGGAACGAUUCUGCAACUUUUUCAAGAGGAACUACUUGAACUGUGAAAUCCUGAAAAAUCUCCUAAAUGAGAUAGAAACUAUAACUUUUUCAAUGCCUUGCAAGUGUUUUCCAUUAACUUAUUGCAAACAAUUGUACUUAAGAAUGCGAAUUUAUUACACUUUAAAAUCUAAUAAUCGUGCAUUUCGCCAAUGCCAAAAUCGUUGCAAGUUAUUUUCUGUGACAAAUUUGUAAUAGGUACCAUUGAUACUAAAACUUAUAAUAUAUUAUAAUUGAAAUGUUA
This is a long non-coding RNA of Ostrinia nubilalis (European corn borer), 2680 nucleotides long. RefSeq lists it as uncharacterized. The record is from RefSeq and is a predicted model, not a curated record. Lineage: Eukaryota; Metazoa; Arthropoda; Insecta; Lepidoptera; Crambidae. The transcript is spliced from 2 exons.